CCUACGGGCGGCAGCAGUGGGGAAUCUUGCACAAUGGGGGAAACCCUGAUGCAGCGACGCUGCGUGAGUGAAGAAGUAUUUCGGUAUGUAAAGCUCUAUCAGCAGGGAAGAAAAUGACGGUACCUGACUAAGAAGCCCCGGCUAACUACGUGCCAGCAGCCGCGGUAAUACGUAGGGGGCAAGCGUUAUCCGGAUUUACUGGGGGUAAAGGGAGCGUAGACGGCAGCACAAGUCUGAAGUGAAAUGCCGGGGCUUAACCCCGGAACUGCUUUGGAAACUGUGCAGCUAGAGUGCAGGAGAGGUGAGUGGAAUUCCUAGUGUAGCGGUGAAAUGCGUAGAUAUUAGGAGGAACACCAGUGGCGAAGGCGGCUUACUGGACUGUAACUGACGUUGAGGCUCGAAAGCGUGGGGAGCAAACAGGAUUAGAUACCCCUGUAGUC
Molecule: ribosomal RNA, 440 nt
Filed under: uncultured bacterium
Lineage: Bacteria
Description: partial 16S ribosomal RNA
Rfam family: Bacterial small subunit ribosomal RNA
Source: RNAcentral